CUUUCAUUGACAUUACAGGCACACAUCCACAGAGCACUCUUCAAAUCAUCUACACAGUGGUUAUCCAACUAGGAUUAUAAAGGCACACAUUGACAUUGACCACUGUUGCAGUCAACGACACAGUCGCUAUCCAAGUAGCAUUAUAGAGCUGUCAUGCAACGCAACAACUGUGCUAUCUGCCAUCGCACAUCAACGAAGAAGUGCAGCCGCCCACAUUCCACCUCACGUCUGUCCGACCAGCUGCAAUCCUCGAGGACGCCCCACUGUACCACGAUUUCACUACGAUGUUUGACAAGAAGGAGCAGUGCGCGAGAUAGGCUAAUGAGCAGACUUCCCUCGCUUGAGUUUCGGAAGAAUGUUCCAUAUCGCGCUAAGCUGACCACUGCUGACCAUGACAGGCGUGCAUUGGACUGGUACAGGUUGGAACUAAACAUUGAAUAUGCUGGUGGUGACGCUUUCUGAUGAGAAGUUGGUCGUGACUGAUGCAGUAUCCUUGGACUUGUCCACAGCAUCGUUCAAUCAUUG
Molecule: long non-coding RNA, 525 nt
Organism: Lineus longissimus
Lineage: Eukaryota; Metazoa; Nemertea; Pilidiophora; Heteronemertea; Lineidae
Exons: 3
Source: RefSeq, a predicted model, not a curated record